UGACCUCGGAUCAGGUUGACC
Molecule: ribosomal RNA, 21 nt
Filed under: Colletotrichum gloeosporioides
Lineage: Eukaryota; Fungi; Ascomycota; Sordariomycetes; Glomerellales; Glomerellaceae
Description: partial 28S ribosomal RNA
Source: RNAcentral